UGGGGAAUUUUGGACAAUGGGGGCAAGUCUGAUCCAGCCAUGCCGCGUGCGGGAAGAAGGCCUUCGGGUUGUAAACCUCUUUUGUCAGGGAAGAAAAGUCUGGGGCUAAUACCCUCGGAUGAUGACGGUACCUGAAGAAUAAGCACCGGCUAACUACGUG
RNAcentral lists this ribosomal RNA (160 nucleotides) under uncultured bacterium. RNAcentral describes it as "partial 16S rRNA". It matches the Rfam family "Bacterial small subunit ribosomal RNA", at positions 355 to 507 of the family's 1533-position model. The record is from RNAcentral.